Molecule: microRNA precursor, 77 nt
Organism: Bison bison bison
Lineage: Eukaryota; Metazoa; Chordata; Mammalia; Artiodactyla; Bovidae
Source: Ensembl
UGGCUUGGCUGAGAAGUUCGUUCUGGUGUUUCUGUAGUAUCGUAUGAAAACCCGGAAUUAACUUUUUGGCCAACCCA